AGGGCAGACGGUGGAUGCCUAGGCUCUCGGAGGCGACGAAGGACGUGAUAAGCUGCGAUAAGCUACGGGGAUUGGCACAUACAAAUUGAUCCGUAGAUUUCCGAAUGGGGCAACCCGGCAUGUUGAAGACAUGUCACACCGCAGAGCGGUGAGCGAACGUGGGGAACUGAAACAUCUAAGUACCCAUAGGAGAAGAAAACAAAAGUGAUUCCCUUAGUAGUGGCGAGCGAACGGGGACUAGCCCAAACCAGAUUUGUUUCGGCAAAACUGGGGUUGUAGGACCUCGAUAUAGGAAGACAAGAUUAGGAGAACGGUCUGGAAAGGCCGGCCAUAGAGCAUGAAAGCUGUGUAUCCGAAAAUCUUCGUUGGACUUAGAGGUAUCCUGAGUAGCGCGGGACACGUGAAAUCCUGUGUGAAUCUGCGGGGCCCAUCCCGUAAGGCUAAAUACUCCCGAGAGACCGAUAGUGAACCAGUACCGUGAGGGAAAGGUGAAAAGAACCUCGAACAGAGGAGUGCAAUAGACCCUGAACCCGUCUGCCUACAAGCGGUAGGAGCAGCCAUGAGCUGUGACUGCGUGCCUUUUGCAUAAUGAACCUACGAGUUACUUUCUCUGGCAAGGUUAAGUGAUGAAGAGUCACGUGAGCCGAAGCGAAAGCGAGUCUGAAUAGGGCGCUAUAGUCAGAGGGAGUAGACGCGAAACCAAGUGAUCUACCCUUGGUCAGGUUGAAGGUUGGGUAAAACCAACUGGAGGACCGCACCGGUAAGCGUUGAAAAGCUUUCGGAUGAACUGAGGGUAGGGGUGAAAGGCUAAUCAAACUUGGAGAUAGCUCGUACUCCCCGAAAUGCAUUUAGGUGCAGCCUGUGGAGUUUCUUGUGUGAGGUAGAGCGACUGAUUGGAUGCGAGGCUUUCACCGGCUAUCAAGUCCAGACAAACUCCGAAUGCAUACAAGUAAUAUCCAUGGAGUGAGGGCAUGGGUGCUAAGGUCCAUGUCCGAGAGGAGAAGAAUCCAGACCAUCGGCUAAGGUCCCGAAAUAAUAGCUAAGUUGACCAAACGAAGUCAGAGUGCUAAGACAGCUAGGAUGUUGGCUUGGAAGCAGCCAUUCAUUUAAAGAGUGCGUAACAGCUCACUAGUCGAGUGCUUUGGCGUGGAUAAUAAUCGGGCAUAAGCUAUUUACCGAAGCUGUGGGAUGUGUAAACAUCGGUAGGGGAGCAUUCUAGCGGCGCUGAAGGUAGGAGGACAACUUCUGCUGGAGCUUCUAGAAAAGCAAAUGUAGGUAUAAGUAACGAUAAAGGAGGUGAGAAACCUCCUCGCCGAAAGACUAAGGUUUCCUGAUCAACGCUAAUCGGAUCAGGGUUAGUCGGGGCCUAAGGGGAAGCCGAACGGCGCACCCGAUGGAAGAACCGGUUAAUAUUCCGGUACUAAUUAUGUGAGCGAUGUGGAGACGGAGAUGUGACGGUCCUGCCAGCUGACGGAAUAGCUGGUUGAAGGGUGUAGGUGUUGAUUGGGGUAGGCAAAUCCGCCCUGAGAGCUGAACCUGACAGUACUCUGAGUGCUUGCACAAGGAGAUAUGGACAAAGUAACGGUGCUCCCAAGAAAAUCCGCUAAGCAUAUUGCAUGAUUACCCGUACCAUAAACCGACACAGGUGGUUGGGUUGAGUAUACUAAGGCGCUCGAGUGAUUCGCGGUUAAGGAACUAGGCAAAAUAGUCCUGUAACUUCGGAAUAAAGGACGCUCACUUAACAGGUGAGCCGCAGAGAAUAGGCCCAGGCGACUGUUUAACAAAAACACAUGGCUAUGCAAAAUCGAAAGAUACAGUAUAUAGCCUGACACCUGCCCGGUGCUGGAAGGUUAAGAGGAGAUGUCAUCGCAAGAGAAGCAUUGAAUUGAAGCCCCAGUAAACGGCGGCCGUAACUAUAACGGUCCUAAGGUAGCGAAAUUCCUUGUCGGGUAAGUUCCGACCUGCACGAAUGGUGUAACGAUCUGGGUACUGUCUCAACCGCGAGCUCGGUGAAAUUGUAGUAUCGGUGAAGAUGCCGAUUACCCGCAACGGGACGAAAAGACCCCGUGAACCUUUACUAUAGCUUUGCAUUGGAUUUGGGUAACAAAUGUGUAGGAUAGGCCGGAGACUGUGAAGCGGGUACGCCAGUAUUCGUGGAGUCGCCGUUGAAAUACGGCCCUUUUGUUAUUUGGGUUCUAACUCGCUGGAGCGAGGACAUUGCAUGGUGGGUAGUUUGACUGGGGUGGUCGCCUCCAAAAGUGUAACGGAGGCUUCU
Molecule: ribosomal RNA, 2275 nt
Filed under: human metagenome
Description: bacterial LSU rRNA
Rfam family: Bacterial large subunit ribosomal RNA
Source: RNAcentral